RNAcentral lists this ribosomal RNA (270 nucleotides) under uncultured bacterium. RNAcentral's name for it is "partial 16S ribosomal RNA". It matches the Rfam family "Bacterial small subunit ribosomal RNA", at positions 793 to 1055 of the family's 1533-position model. The record is from RNAcentral.
GUCCACGCCGUAAACGAUGUUCACUAGAUAUUAGAGGAUUUGACCCCUUUAGUGUCGCAGCUAACGCACUAAGUGAACCGCCUGGGGAGUACGGUCGCAAGACUAAAACUCAAAGGAAUUGACGGGGGCCCCGCACAAGCGGUGGAGUAUGUGGUUUAAUUCGACGCAACGCGAAGAACCUUACCUGGAUUAGAAAUCAACUAGACGAACUGCAGAGAUGUGGUUCUCUCCCGCAAGGGAGCUGGUUGACAGGUGCUGCAUGGCUGUCGU